Molecule: unclassified non-coding RNA, 282 nt
Filed under: Hevea brasiliensis (rubber tree)
Lineage: Eukaryota; Viridiplantae; Streptophyta; Magnoliopsida; Malpighiales; Euphorbiaceae
Source: RNAcentral
GUUAGAAGUAUGAUUUACUGAUCAUGCUAGCCUUAAUUCAUGCAAAAUUACCAAGGAUAAUUUAUAAAUAAGUUUUUAGAGGUUAUUGAAAUUAUUAUCUUUCAAGAGUUUACUUUGUAUUUUCUUUUAAAUUCUAUGAAAAGUUGAGCUUGUUAGGGCUUGAUCUUAUCAUACAAACCUUGAUUUGCUUUCAUUAAAUUAUGUAUGAACACUAUUCAUGCAGUUCCAAUGUAUACCUUAUUGUAAUACAUGCCAACUGUUCUCUACUAAUAUGUCUUUUAU